ACUGGCGGCGUGCUUAACACAUGCAAGUCGAACGAAGCAUCUCGCCCGAAGAAAUGGAGUGCUUGCACAAAGUGGAUUCAAUUGAGAUGACUGAGUGGCGGACGGGUGAGUAACGCGUGGGUAACCUGCCCUAUACAGGGGGAUAGCAGUUGGAAACGACUGAUAAUACCGCAUAAGCGCACAGUACCGCAUGGUACAGUGUGAAAAACUCCGGUGGUAUAGGAUGGACCCGCGUCUGAUUAGCUAGUUGGUGAGGUAACGGCUCACCAAGGCGACGAUCAGUAGCCGACCUGAGAGGGUGACCGGCCACAUUGGGACUGAGACACGGCCCAAACUCCUACGGGAGGCAGCAGUGGGGAAUAUUGCACAAUGGGCGAAAGCCUGAUGCAGCGAACCGCCGCGUGAGUGAUGAAGUAUUUCGGUAUGUAAAGCUCUAUCAGCAGGGAAGGUAAUGACGGUACCUGACUAAGAAGCACCGGCUAAAUACGUGCCAGCCGCUGC
RNAcentral lists this ribosomal RNA (501 nucleotides) under uncultured bacterium. RNAcentral describes it as "bacterial SSU rRNA". It matches the Rfam family "Bacterial small subunit ribosomal RNA", at positions 36 to 518 of the family's 1533-position model. The record is from RNAcentral.